UGUCCAAGGGUAUUGUGAGAAAAUG
RNAcentral lists this non-coding RNA (25 nucleotides) under Mus musculus (house mouse). The record is from RNAcentral. Lineage: Eukaryota; Metazoa; Chordata; Mammalia; Rodentia; Muridae.